Molecule: ribosomal RNA, 441 nt
Filed under: uncultured soil bacterium
Lineage: Bacteria
Description: bacterial SSU rRNA
Rfam family: Bacterial small subunit ribosomal RNA
Source: RNAcentral
AGAGUUUGAUCCUGGCUCAGAACGAACGCUGGCGGCAGGCCUAAUACAUGCAAGUCGAACGCUCCAGCAAUGGAGAGUGGCAGACGGGUGAGUAACGCGUGGGAACCUUCCCAGUGGUACGGAAUAGCUCAGGGAAACUUGAGGUAAUACCGUAUACGCCCUUCGGGGGAAAGAUUUAUCGCCAUUGGAUGGGCCCGCGUCGGAUUAGCUAGUUGGUGGGGUAAUGGCCCACCAAGGCGACGAUCCGUAGCUGGUCUGAGAGGAUGAUCAGCCACACUGGGACUGAGACACGGCCCAGACUCCUACGGGAGGCAGCAGUAGGGAAUAUUGGACAAUGGGCGCAAGCCUGAUCCAGCCAUGCCGCGUGAGUGACGAAGGCCUUCGGGUUGUAAAGCUCUUUUGGCGGGGACGAUAAUGACGGUACCCGCAGAAUUAGUCCCG